Non-coding RNA from Caerostris extrusa, 72 nucleotides. NCBI's taxonomy places the organism in Eukaryota, Metazoa, Arthropoda, Arachnida, Araneae, Araneidae. The record is from the annotation of a GenBank genome assembly.
UCCAGCAUGCUCUAGUGGUCAGGAUACUUGGCUCUCACCCAAGAGACACGGGUUCGAUUCCCGAUGUCGGAA